AGCGAACGUUAGCGGCGCGCCUAACACAUGCAAGUCGCACGAGAAACGGAGCAAUCCGCGGUACAGUGGCGCACGGGUGAGUAACACGUGGAUGACCUUCCCUGGAGUGGUGGAUAACCUGCCGAAAGGCGGGCUAAUACAGCAUAGGACCACGACGCCUUGGCGAUGUGGUGAAAGCGGGCCUCUAUAUAUAAGCUCGCGCUCCGGGACGGGUCCGCGUCCCAUCAGCUAGUUGGUGAGGUAACGGCUCACCAAGGCAACGACGGGUAGCUGGUCUGAGAGGAUGGCCAGCCACACUGGAACUGAGACACGGUCCAGACUCCUACGGGAGGCAGCAGUGGGGAAUCUUGCGCAAUGGGCGAAAGCCUGACGCAGCGACGCCGCGUGGGCGAAGAAGGCCUUCGGGUUGUAAAGCCCUGUGGGGGAGAACGAACCGUACGGGGGCGAAUACCCUCCGUGCCUGACGGUACUCCUUUAGCAAGCAUCGGCUAACUCUGUG
Molecule: ribosomal RNA, 499 nt
Filed under: uncultured bacterium
Lineage: Bacteria
Description: bacterial SSU rRNA
Rfam family: Bacterial small subunit ribosomal RNA
Source: RNAcentral